This 72-nucleotide transfer RNA is filed under the name Camelus dromedarius (Arabian camel). It matches the Rfam family "tRNA". From Rfam's summary of the family: Transfer RNA (tRNA) molecules are approximately 80 nucleotides in length. Their secondary structure includes four short double-helical elements and three loops (D, anti-codon, and T loops). RNAcentral also lists the same sequence under 1 other name. The record is from Rfam by way of RNAcentral. Lineage: Eukaryota; Metazoa; Chordata; Mammalia; Artiodactyla; Camelidae.
GAGGGUGUAGCUCAGUGGUAGAGCACAUGCUUAGCAUACACGAGGUCCUGGGUUCAAUCCCCAGUACCUCCA